CUUGGCUCUACUGUGUGCAUUACAUCUGUCACAAGGGAAACAGUGAGGAAGGUCUGAAAAAUGCAAACCAAUGCAGUUAAUACUGGCCAGAGUUAAAGCAACACUUUCAAAGACUCCUUUUAGUAUUGCUUCUGCAAGAGAUUUUUCUGUCCAUGCAGAAUAUAAGCCUAUGGUUAGUAGCAGGACAAAAAAAUAAAUAAAGGAAAUGUUACCUAAAAAUGCCAAUUCAGCACCUAUAUAACCCAACUAUAUUUACACAAUUUAGUCCAGAAAUCAAUAGUGGUGCCACUGAAAUAAUGCACAAAUUCGUAUCUUCAAAACUAGUUUUCAUAAUAAUAGCUUCAUUAUGUUCCAGAAGAGAAUGAUAACAAACUGCAGAAUGAAAACUGAGAUGGAAGUGAGGGAAGAAAACAUCCAGCCAAAGGAAAAGGAAAAAGUAUGGCCAUAACAGCACACUACAGAAGUCUUGCAUACUCUGCUUAACGCAGAUCUGUUGACCUUCAGAAAGGCUUCUUGCUUAAGUAAGAUUCAGGAGGUAAAAGUGAGAGAGUGAUAGUUUUGCAUUGGCUGUAUCCAAUUCCUUGCCUGAUAAAGGAGCAAAUAAAGUAGACAGUGCAGUCCUCAAAAGAAUUCACAUCACUUAUUUUAUAACCAGCCUCUUACUUGCUGCUAGCUUUGAUUUCAUCUGGGAGCCUCCCUGCUGACUUGAGAAACAUGGGAACUGAGAACAUUAAGAUCACCUGCCAUAUUUUAUAGAGUUGUGUUGAAGAACAUCUGGUCCAGCCCACUUCUGUGCUGUAAACAUUAUCAUUAACCUCAGGUGUGAAUGGCCACUUGCCAGCUGCUGAGAGGAAACAUGUGCUCCUCUUGCUGAUGUGAAGCUUGAGGACUUCAAAAGGAAGAUCACUCCUAACAUGGAGGUAACCAGUGUCUCACAUCUGGCCAUCCACUAUCAUACCUCAGAUAUGGCAGCCCUCCCUGCUUGUUCUGAACAGAGACUUCCAUUUCUGUUAGUAGAAAACUUUCCACAACGUCAGUUGUGUGAUAACAUCAUUAUCUUUCACCAACAAUAAAAGGUUUGAUGAAGCUGUUAUAAUUUAUAAGAAAUCUGCUGGUUAUUCCUCCACAUCUAAUUUAUUAUUAAUAUAUGAGGAAAUGAGUAACUACGUAUCUUGUCAAACCUGACUUUGUAAAAAAUAAAAAUAAAUUACUUAAAACUUAGCAAAGAAUUUUAGACUUUAUUUAAUAUUGUAAAAAAUAAUAAUAAUAAUAACAGAAGGAAGCAAAUCACAUGAUUUAGUUAGGCCCUUCCUGAUGACAUUCUGCUUUACUUUCC
RNAcentral lists this long non-coding RNA (1336 nucleotides) under Gallus gallus (chicken). Lineage: Eukaryota; Metazoa; Chordata; Aves; Galliformes; Phasianidae. The record is from RNAcentral.